ACCUUCGGGCCUUGUGCUACUAGAGCGGCUGAUGGCAGAUUAGGUAGUUGGUGGGGUAAAGGCUUACCAAGCCUGCGAUCUGUAGCUGGUCUGAGAGGACGACCAGCCACACUGGGACUGAGACACGGCCCAGACUCCUACGGGAGGCAGCAGUGGGGAAUUUUGGACAAUGGGCGAAAGCCUGAUCCAGCAAUGCCGCGUGCAGGAUGAAGGCCCUCGGGUUGUAAACUGCUUUUGUACGGAACGAAAAGCCUGGGGCUAAUACCCCCGGGUCAUGACGGUACCGUAAGAAUAAGCACCGGCUAACUACG
RNAcentral lists this ribosomal RNA (311 nucleotides) under Comamonas sp. M(2010). RNAcentral describes it as "bacterial SSU rRNA". It matches the Rfam family "Bacterial small subunit ribosomal RNA", at positions 202 to 505 of the family's 1533-position model. Lineage: Bacteria; Pseudomonadati; Pseudomonadota; Betaproteobacteria; Burkholderiales; Comamonadaceae. The record is from RNAcentral.